Herpailurus yagouaroundi (jaguarundi) is the source of this 215-nucleotide long non-coding RNA. RefSeq lists it as uncharacterized. Lineage: Eukaryota; Metazoa; Chordata; Mammalia; Carnivora; Felidae. The transcript has 2 exons. The record is from RefSeq and is a predicted model, not a curated record.
CUCUGCCCCUCCCCCGUUCAUGCUCUGUCUCUCUCUCUCUCUCUCUCUCAAAAUAAAUAAACUAAAAAAAAAAUUUUUUUUUAGGAUGCCGUGUUAUUUCUUUUGCAAUCAUAAAACAACCUCAUAGAGAUGAAUGUCUUUUAUUAUGAAAAUUGCUGUUACAUUACAGCCAACAUUCCAAAACAGUAUUUUAAUAAACACGUCUUGAUUAUAAA